CCUACGGGAGGCAGCAGUGAGGAAUAUUGGUCAAUGGGCGCGAGCCUGAACCAGCCAAGUAGCGUGAAGGAUGACUGCCCUACGGAUUGUAAACCUCUUUUAUAAAGGAAUAAAGUGAGGCACGUGUGCCGUUUUGUAUGUACUUUAUGAAUAAGGAUCGGCUAACUCCGUGCCAGCAGCCGCGGUAAUACGGAGGAUCCGAGCGUUAUCCGGAUUUAUUGGGUUUAAAGGGUGCGUAGGUGGGGUGUUAAGUCAGUUGUGAAAGUUUGCGGCUCAACCGUAAAAUUGCAAUUGAUACUGGCAGCCUUGAGUACAGUUGAGGUAGGCGGAAUUCGUGGUGUAGCGGUGAAAUGCUUAGAUAUCACGAAGAACUCCGAUUGCGAAGGCAGCUUACUAAACUGCCACUGACGUUGAUGCUCGAAAGUGUGGGUAUCAAACAGGAUUAGAUACCCCUGUAGUC
RNAcentral lists this ribosomal RNA (460 nucleotides) under uncultured bacterium. Its description in RNAcentral is "partial 16S ribosomal RNA". It matches the Rfam family "Bacterial small subunit ribosomal RNA", at positions 338 to 795 of the family's 1533-position model. The record is from RNAcentral.